AAAUUAGUGGUCUCAGAUGAGUAGGCAGCUCCUUUUCCAUAGGUAUCUCCUUCACCAUAAUUAGUUUUCUCUCCAUAGGUAGUUUCAGAUGGAACAUCUCCAUAGCCACUCUUGUUUUCAUAGCCACUCUCUCCAUAACUAGUCUUAUUUUCAUAGCCACUAUCUCCAUAGCCACUCUUGUUUUCAUAGCCACUAUCUCCAUAGCCACUCUUGUUUUCAUAGCCACUAUCUCCAUAACCAGUCUUAUUUUCAUAGCCACUAUCUCCAUCGCUAGUCUUAUUUUCAUAGCCACUAUCUCCAUAGUUACCUCCCUCACCAUAACUAGUUUUCUCUACAUAUCCACUUUCUCCAUAGUCAGUUUUCUCACCAUAUUUGUUAUCCCCAUAGUUAUCUCCCCCACCAUAACUAGUUUUCUCACCAUAUGUAUUCUCUCCGUAGGUAGUUUUUUCAGUAUCACCACCAUAUGGAGUUUCUCCAUAGGUAGUUUUGUCUUCCUCCUUGUCCUUGUGGUGGAAGAGACCGAAGUGGUGCUUCUUCUCUUCAGCCAUUUUGGUGAUAAAUGUGAUGGUUGACGAGUUU
Molecule: long non-coding RNA, 579 nt
Filed under: Nicotiana tabacum (common tobacco)
Lineage: Eukaryota; Viridiplantae; Streptophyta; Magnoliopsida; Solanales; Solanaceae
Description: long non-coding RNA (NTAB_LNC002021)
Source: RNAcentral